This 509-nucleotide ribosomal RNA is filed under the name uncultured bacterium. RNAcentral's name for it is "partial 16S ribosomal RNA". It matches the Rfam family "Bacterial small subunit ribosomal RNA", at positions 28 to 506 of the family's 1533-position model. The record is from RNAcentral.
GACGAACGCUGGCGGCGUGCUUAACACAUGCAAGUCGAACGAAGAGCGACGGAAGCUUGCUUCUAUCACUCUUAGUGGCGAACGGGUGAGUAACGCGUAAUCAACCUGCCCUUCAGAGGGGGACAACAGUUGGAAACGACUGCUAAUACCGCAUACGAUCUAAUCUCGGCAUCGAGGAUGGAUGAAAGGUGGCCUCUACAUGUAAGCUAUCACUGAAGGAGGGGAUUGCGUCUGAUUAGCUAGUUGGAGGGGUAACGGCCCACCAAGGCGAUGAUCAGUAGCCGGUCUGAGAGGAUGAACGGCCACAUUGGGACUGAGACACGGCCCAGACUCCUACGGGAGGCAGCAGUGGGGAAUCUUCCGCAAUGGACGAAAGUCUGACGGAGCAACGCCGCGUGAGUGAUGACGGCCUUCGGGUUGUAAAGCUCUGUUAAUCGGGACGAAAGGCCUUCUUGCGAAUAGUGAGAAGGAUUGACGGUACCGGAAUAGAAAGCCACGGCUAACUACGU